CAGCCGUAAACUAUGCGCGUUAGGUGUACUGGUGACCACGAGUCACCGGGGUGCCGAAGGGAAACCGUGAAACGUGCCGCCUGGGAAGUACGGUCGCAAGGCUGAAACUUAAAGGAAUUGGCGGGGGAGCACAACAACGGGUGGAGCCUGCGGUUUAAUUGGACUCAACGCCGGACAACUCACCAGGAACGACAGCAAUAUGUAGGCCAGGCUGAAGACCUUGCCUGAAUCGCUGAGAGGAGGUGCAUGGCGUAGACGUCU
RNAcentral lists this ribosomal RNA (261 nucleotides) under uncultured archaeon. Its description in RNAcentral is "partial 16S ribosomal RNA". It matches the Rfam family "Archaeal small subunit ribosomal RNA", at positions 748 to 1009 of the family's 1478-position model. The record is from RNAcentral.